Long non-coding RNA from Vitis riparia (riverbank grape), 1000 nucleotides. RefSeq lists it as uncharacterized. The transcript is spliced from 3 exons. Lineage: Eukaryota; Viridiplantae; Streptophyta; Magnoliopsida; Vitales; Vitaceae. The record is from RefSeq and is a predicted model, not a curated record.
UAUGUGAAGAAUAUCAUUUUCAAAAACUCACACACUUCAUGGUGUUGAGAUCCCAUUUGAAAAACUGAAGGAAAAUUUCAUCAUCAUCAUCAUUCAUUUGCGUUAGUGUUGGUGUGAGGACUCUUCUUUAUUUCUUAUAUAGUAUUAAUGUUGAGUAGAAAAUUGUUGUACUUUAAUUUGAGCUCUCUUGUAGAGCAGAACCUGAACAACAAUGUACCACUUAAGCAAGGAACAUAUAUUACGAGGCAAUUUGGUUUUGGAUAGAAGUCAAGACCAUGAGAACUAGAAAGACAGUCUUUCCCAUUCUUAAAAGUACGCAAAAUAAAAAAGGAUGGGUAGGAGGGGGUAAUGGUUGUAGCAGAGCAACAAUAACAACAUUCAUUCUCCCUAAGUUGACAUCCAUGCCAUUGCAUCUGUAUAUGGAGGAUCUAGAUCUGUUUGAUACAACAAUAUUUUCUUCAUUUGCAUUCUUUUGUUAGAUAAUGAGGGUGAAGUUCACAUGCAAUUCCAAGGACUUGAGAGGUUGUGCCAAAUAUGGAUUCAUCUUAUGCAAGUAUAUACAGGGUAGAUAAUUCACAUCACAGGGCUUGUUGUUGUUCAUUUCCAAGUUUGAAAUCUCUGCCUGAAGGGAUACCAAAAGGAGGCAACCUUAGACUGGCCUAAUAACUUCUAAUGUCCCAAGGACUCAUAUCUACUAGUCAUGGAUUGCUAAUUCGCAAAAGACCUCUCUUUUAAUUCAAGUGCACUAUCCACGACAUAUUUCAGGUUUGUAAUGCCAAUUGCUUUUCCUGACUUUGAUGUUUGCUUAAUUUCUUAUUUUACAAUUAAUUUGCUCUGUUUCUUACUUUACAAGCUAUGGACGAAUGAUGCAUAUGGAAUGAGUAAGUUCACUUGCAUCAACAUGUCUUUAUUAUUCAGCUUACUUGAUAAUGUUCCUAUACGUAUGCUGGUGAAUCCAAUCUUUGUAGAGUGUUUUCUUUGGAGUUCUCUUUCUCAUCGA